Molecule: long non-coding RNA, 1893 nt
Organism: Dioscorea cayenensis subsp. rotundata (Guinea yam)
Lineage: Eukaryota; Viridiplantae; Streptophyta; Magnoliopsida; Dioscoreales; Dioscoreaceae
Exons: 8
Source: RefSeq, a predicted model, not a curated record
UCUCGCUUAUGGCCCAGUUCUUCUUUCUCGCGUAUUGGCCCUUUCUUCUCUCUUGCUUUCUCUCACUCGUGCUCGGUUGGACGGUGUGGGCUCAAGAACCUUCGGUGUUUCUCUGCGUUGGAUCGCCUACGUAGCCUUCUCUUCUCCCCCACCAUCCCUUUCUCUUCCCUCAAGUGGACAACUGGCAUUUGAAGCUUCUUGGGCCGCUCUCAGAGGUAGUGUCUUUGUUAUCUUAUCAUUCCGAUGAAGAUGAAGAUGAAGAUCAUAGAGCUUAUAUGGAUGUAAUGUCUAAGACUUAAGGUCAUGGUUUAAGUUUCCAAAAUUGGUAUUUCUAAUUUUUUUUUUGGGGUUUAAGCUCGGUAUAUCGCUGUUCUUUAAAAUGAGGACAUCUCAUUGAUGAAAACUUUAUGUGGAUUUGUGUUUCUGAAUGAUCUUUGUUUUGGUUAUUUGUUGCAUGACGUGUCUUCUAUUAAUAUUUCCAAUUCUGUUAAAAUAUUUGUUGGUGCUAUAUAUGAGUUAAUAGUUUGCAUGAUUAGUUGAGCAUCAAUAUGAUAUAUUAUUUCUCUGAUGCUUAUAUAAAUAAAUAUAUAUAUAUAUAUUCCUUGAUAAGAUUGAAAAUGAGUCUCAUAUAGAUUGUAAUGAAAUAUUGGAGCAGACCUUGAUUAGUUAUUAGCAAACAGGUGAUACCACAAAAUCUGAAUUGAAUCAAAACUCACAUUAUUAAUACGGUCAUGUGUCUUACACAAUUUUUUUUAUGCAGGAUUUUGCUUCAUACCCUGUUUUUCCUUUAUUAUCUUCUUAGCUUGGUACAUAAAACUUGGAAUGAGAGAUAUUCUAAUGUUAUGAAAAAAACUCAAGCCCCAAGGUAAAGAACUCGAGCUACUGAUCGCAAUCAUGCCUAACAGUUUGUUUAAGUUACUAUGUUCUAGUACUUGGGGGCUUGUUAUGCUCGCUUCCUUGCCAUUGAUUGUUUAUAGUUAGAAAUUUUGUACUUGUGGAGUGAUGAUUGAUCUAAAUGUUUGCUUGAUUUAGGACUGAAAGGAUGAAGUUCUCCAGGCUUGGUAAUGGAUGACUGUGAGUUAAGUCUUUUUUUUUUAAAAAAAAUUAUAGGGAAAAUUGGUUAUGCACUUGUGCCAAUGAUUGCUUAGGAAUUAAUGAUGGGCCCAAAUAAGCCUGUUUUAUGCACAUGCUUGAGAUUCCUCCUUCUCCAGAAGCCUUGAUUGUUGGUAAGAUGGAGUCAGUUGAUGCAGCGUUCUGUCUCCUCAAAGGAGGCACAUUGCUAUAGUCAAUGGGGUUUUACUAUGAAAACUUAUCAAUUUUGAUGUCAAGUAUUUAUGCUUGCUGACAUCCAUUAGUAAUGGGCCUUUUGACAAGUGAUUACACCUAUAAAGUCCAAGCGGAUCUUAUGGAGGUUUUGCAUAUACCCAAAUGCAUCAAGUUUGUUAGCAUAGUUAAUAAGGCCAAUCUGUUCUACAAGGUUUGCCUUUACCAAUGCUGGUUUAACUAUUACUAAUUGAAAAGUGCACAUUCAUGAAGGUACAUAAGAAGGCAUCUUUAGGAGAAAAGCCCUAUAUUGGGCACCAAAAUUAUCCUGAUUCUUCAAUUUGAAGCUCCAGAUCUUAGCUUUACUGACUUCCAAUCCUUCCAUCUCUCUCCCCUUUCUAAUCCAAUCUGGAAAGACAGCUCUUUGAUGACCUAGAAAGAAGGUACCGGUUGAUAGCUCUGAUUUCCUGAAAGAGUUUGGGCUGUGAUAAUAUUGAAGUGCAUCUCGUACUACUAUGUUAUUGGGGAAAUAAUUGCAUGACUGUGAAUUAUUUACCUACAAUAAUCUUCACAAUUUUUUUUGUAUUUGAUUUUUUUGUUCAAAGAAAAUGUAUAUAAAUACUUUUUGAU